RNAcentral lists this ribosomal RNA (893 nucleotides) under uncultured bacterium. Its description in RNAcentral is "bacterial SSU rRNA". It matches the Rfam family "Bacterial small subunit ribosomal RNA", at positions 54 to 954 of the family's 1533-position model. The record is from RNAcentral.
CAUGCAGUCGAGGGGUAUAGUUCUUCGGAGCUAGAGACCGGCGCACGGGUGCGUAACGCGUAUGCAAUCUACCUUUUACAGAGGGAUAGCCCAGAGAAAUUUGGAUUAAUACCUCAUAGUAUAUAGCCCUGGCAUCAGGAUUAUAUUAAAGUCACAACGGUAAAAGAUGAGCAUGCGUCCCAUUAGCUAGUUGGUAAGGUAACGGCUUACCAAGGCUACGAUGGGUAGGGGUCCUGAGAGGGAGAUCCCCCACACUGGUACUGAGACACGGACCAGACUCCUACGGGAGGCAGCAGUGAGGAAUAUUGGACAAUGGGCGCAAGCCUGAUCCAGCCAUGCCGCGUGCAGGAUGACGGUCCUAUGGAUUGUAAACUGCUUUUAUACGAGAAGAAACACUCCGACGUGUCGGAGCUUGACGGUAUCGUAAGAAUAAGGAUCGGCUAACUCCGUGCCAGCAGCCGCGGUAAUACGGAGGAUCCAAGCGUUAUCCGGAAUCAUUGGGUUUAAAGGGUCCGUAGGCGGUUUAAUAAGUCAGUGGUGAAAGCCCAUCGCUCAACGGUGGAACGGCCAUUGAUACUGUUAGACUUGAAUUAUUAGGAAGUAACUAGAAUAUGUAGUGUAGCGGUGAAAUGCUUAGAGAUUACAUGGAAUACCAAUUGCGAAGGCAGGUUACUACUAAUUGAUUGACGCUGAUGGACGAAAGCGUGGGUAGCGAACAGGAUUAGAUACCCUGGUAGUCCACGCCGUAAACGAUGGAUACUAGCUGUUGGGAGCAAUCUCAGUGGCUAAGCGAAAGUGAUAAGUAUCCCACCUGGGGAGUACGUUCGCAAGAAUGAAACUCAAAGGAAUUGACGGGGGCCCGCACAAGCGGUGGAGCAUGUGGUUUAAUUCGA